UGCCAGCAGCCGCGGUAAGACGGAGGGUGCAAACGUUGUUCGGAAUCACUGGGCAUAAAGCGCACGUAGGCGGUCCGCUAAGUCAGAUGUGAAAUUCCUCGGCUCAACCGAGGAACUGCACCUGAUACUGACGGACUCGAGGACGGUAGGGGUGAGUGGAACUCCAGGUGGAGCGGUGAAAUGCGUAGAUAUCUGGAGGAACACCGGUGGCGAAGGCGACUCACUGGACCGUAUCUGACGCUGAGGCGCGAAAGCUAGGGUAGCGAACGGGAUUAGAUA
This 279-nucleotide ribosomal RNA is filed under the name uncultured bacterium. Its description in RNAcentral is "partial 16S ribosomal RNA". It matches the Rfam family "Bacterial small subunit ribosomal RNA", at positions 506 to 784 of the family's 1533-position model. The record is from RNAcentral.